UACCUCCCUAUCCCCGAAGGUCCGUAAUCCCGCUUCCCCUGCUCUUCUCCUGGGGCAGUGAUUUUGAACUUGGCUAACAUGGAGGGGACCCAGCCCUAGACUGGGGUGGAGGAUCAAGUGUCUGCUGUUCAUGCUUUUGGUGCUGAAUUGGAGGCUGUGUUUUCUACGUCUCCUCGCCCCCCCCCACCCAAAAAAAGAGGGCCAGGUUUAGGGGAGGGGUCGUGUGCUAGGGGAAGGAGUGGGUUUCCAAGCGGAUGUGACUCGCACAGUUUUAUCCAAGGUAGAGGUGGAAGGGGGAGGGAAGCUGCCUGUGAGGCUGAAUGUCUGCCCCUUGCUGCCCCCAGCUCCUCUCCUCCCCCCCCCCAGCAUUGCUCUCCCGAUACCCGCAGUUUUCCUUCGCUCCGUGGCCUUUAUCAGUGUAUUUAUUUACACUCUGCAUAGGCCAUGUUCCAUGCAAUCUACUCACAAUGCGGAUUUCAGGCCCCACUUUCCGCCGCCCCCUUCUGCCUUAGCUAUCAGUUUCCCCUCCUAAUUAACUGGGGGUGGAUUUGAGUGAUGGUUGAAAAUUUAAAUAAAAUGGGAUAUUCCUUCCCUGCCACACUUUCUCAAUAAGGAGCCUCGCCCCUCCUUCCCACUCUCAGGCUCGCUUCUUGCCCUAUCCACCCGGCAAUUCCUGUUGAGCCUACAGGCAGCUUUGCUUGGGGAGGGGGUGGCUGGCAGCGAAGGGGUGUGCGCCCUCGGGGCCUCCUGCUUCCGUUGGCCUGUCAGUUCAGGACGGAGGAGUUCGUUAGGACCGUUUAGCGAAAAUUCCACGUCGCUUUGCUGUGACACCUUCGUGCACACACAGCUCCUAAUUAGGGGUUGCUGUACAGUAAACAAAAAUGAUUAUUUUUCAACUUGACAGAGUAGCCGAAGUAAUUGCAUCGCGUAGGGAAACAAUGGAAAAUAAAAACCCCUUUCGUGGGAAGGUGGGAGUAGGAGAUGAAGCAUGCUUGCGGUUUCAGAACCAAGAUGCAAAAAAUCUUGCAUGUGUAACAGGCAUGACAAGCGGGUUCUAGGCGGCGCCAUGAUGGUAGGGAGUAGCGACUCGGAGACAGUUUCCCCGUCUGCUUGACAUGUUCUUAUUUUCGUUCGAGAGCUCCCUGGGGCUUUCUUCGAAGAGGCCCCUUCGGCUCGCCGCACCCUUCUGAACCAAGGCCCUUGCAGAUCAGUAAAUGUAAGCCGCGCCACUCCUUUCUCCCGAGGGGGGACGUUUUAAAACUUCAGAAGUCUGUAAUCAGCAGUGGAGGACUCGAGCCCGGUAGACGCCCCAGCCACUGGAGCUGGAUGAGGUUUCAGGCGUUGCAAGUGGUGGACAGCGCCCAGCCGAGGACAGAAAAGUCGAUGGGGCUCAGUUCGGCAACGCUCGGUUAGGCUCCGUGCGGUCUGGGCGCGGGGCUCGGAGAGAGUCGGCGGUGUUCGGAGCCGAGUCUGCGCUCCGGCGGAGAGAGCCGAGCCGCUUCGGAGGGGGUCGAACGCAUUCGGAAAUGCUCGUGGGAGGGGAGCGCGCAGGAGGGGCAGAAGGAGGGGGACAGGCCAGAGUCUGCAAAUUAACUUUGAAUCCGCUAAAGAACUGCUUUUCCUGAACAUGCCCCAUAAAUUAGGCUGAUUUAAUGAGAAGUUUAAAAAUAUAUACUGAAUCCCCCAAAGGGGUACCUCACCUUUUUUUAUUCAAAGAGAGCUGAGCUCUCUGGGGAAAUAGGUGUGCCACUUUAGGAUGAAAAUUCAUAAUUAUGUACUGGACAGGAAAUCUUAAAUGAAGGCUGGAUGUAGACUUCCCAGA
This is a long non-coding RNA of Sapajus apella (tufted capuchin), 1822 nucleotides long. RefSeq lists it as uncharacterized. The record is from RefSeq and is a predicted model, not a curated record. NCBI's taxonomy places the organism in Eukaryota, Metazoa, Chordata, Mammalia, Primates, Cebidae. The transcript has 2 exons.